Long non-coding RNA from Cyprinus carpio carpio, 640 nucleotides. NCBI's taxonomy places the organism in Eukaryota, Metazoa, Chordata, Actinopteri, Cypriniformes, Cyprinidae. The record is from Ensembl.
GCUUUGUGAAGGACGCAGCCUGCAGUUUGACGUCUUUUUCUUCCUUUUAUUGUACUUGUGCGUCUCACUGAAAAGGGAAAUAAGUUCUUACGGUGUCUACUUGAAUGUCAACGUAUUAAACAUUUUUGGAAACAUCAGUUAAGGAGCAAAAGACCAUCAUUUCAGUGGGGUAGCAACAGUAAGAACUUAUCCAUUCGUCGUCGAAGCCUGCUGCAUUGAUGACCGGUGUCCACGUUGACGGGUCUUUAAGGAGUGAGUGUUCACGUGCAGAGGAUCGAUUUCUGAUGGUUGAACUAGUUUCGUUUAUGAAUCACAACGGUUGAAACGGAGGAUUAAUCGACACACUACGGACUGUGAAAGGCUGUGUUCUUCAGGUAUGUGGGUGGAUCGGCACACAAAGCCUUGAAUGGCACCUUCUACAGGAGUGACAACGAAGCAUAUACGGAUGCCUGGAGCAGAUUAGAUCAAAGGUAUGGUCAACCAUUUGUGAUACAACGUGCCUUUCGACAGAAGCUUGCAAACUGGCCUAAAAUUCAGUCAAGGGAUGCUGUUGGACUCCGAGAGUUUUCAGAUUUUCUGAAUGCAUGUCAAGAUGCCAUGGCUCAUGUUGCAAAUCUACAAAUUUUAAAUGACUGCGAGG